This is a long non-coding RNA of Meriones unguiculatus (Mongolian gerbil), 3031 nucleotides long. RefSeq lists it as uncharacterized. The transcript is spliced from 4 exons. Lineage: Eukaryota; Metazoa; Chordata; Mammalia; Rodentia; Muridae. The record is from RefSeq and is a predicted model, not a curated record.
AGAAAAGUCCCGAGCAGAUGAGAUCACAUGGAACAGAGAUGAACUACAACUGAGACUCACCUUCCAGUCAAUCCCUUUGAGCACAGCCUUGAAAUGUAUGUUUAUGCUCCACUUGUGUGGCUGGUACCUGCAAGUCCAGAAGAGAGCUUCAGAUGCCCUGGGAGUGGAGUUACAAAUUUUGUAAGCUGCAAUGUAGUGUAGACAUCCAGUUAGACCAGCACCAUUUGUUGAAGAUGUGGUCUUUUUACACUGUACGGUUUUGACUUCUUUGUCAAAAAUGAAUACAGAGACUCGUUCCUCCAUGGACUGCAAAAAAUAAGUGGAAGAUCAGUGCUCCUUCUUAAAGAAGACAUUUGUAGCAUCACUUCUAAGGAUCAGGGAACACUGCAGAAGAAAAGAUAGAAAGGAUGCAAGAGGCAGAAGAUAGAGAAGACUGGAAAAUGUAACCUCUCCUGCAAGAUACAGCCAUUUCAAAUACAAACUUAUAGAAGCCUUGGGGCUGCACAAGAAUGGGCCUCAGGAGCUCCUGCCCACCAACAGUGGACUAUUUUGCUUCUAAUAGAUUCAGGAAGAGUGCCAGGGAGUGUGCCACUGCCUUCAGUUGUGUACACAUUGGUGACCUCACCAGGGUCCAAUGGUAGUUCCAAUCAAUGAUCACUUAGAUUGCUCUGGUUAAACAAAAUCAGCUGCAUAAUGAAAAAAAAAAGGUAAAUCUGGUAAUAGUAAAGGGUAUUGAUAAGGAUGGGAGAGACACAAUGGGUGGCAUUACAUAUUAUACGAAAUUGUUAAAGAACAACUUAAUAACAACAUUUUCUUUUAGCCAGGCAUGGUGGCACACACCUUUAAUCCCAGCACUCAGAGAGGCAGAGGUGGGCAUAUCGCUGUGAGUUGUAGGCCAACAUGGCCUACAGAGGGAAUCCAGGACAGUCAAGGCAACACAGAGAAACCAUGUUUCAAAAAACCCAAAGGAAAAAAAAAGUUUUCUUUUUAAGGGAUUUAUGUUAGGUCACUUAUAUUUGUACAAACGUUUCUAUUUUAGAAUCAAAUUAUGACCAUGACCAGUUAAUCAAUUGUUAUACCUAAGAGUUCCUUUUGAUCCUAGCAAUCUUCAGUUGCUCUCAGUGGUGGGAAAUGAGUUGACUUGGGUAGCUCCAAACUGAGAAAACAAACCAAAACUCUUGAGGACACUAGACUCUACUGAUCUCUUUUCUGCUCUUAAAACACUCUAUAGCCGUCCUUUGAAGAAACAGAAAAUUAUGAAGUAGGAGUGUUUGGAAUAUGCAUGAUAUUGUCAUGAGAAUUUAAAUUUUAAAUGUAAGUUAUGGUAGAAAAACUAUUAGCCAUUUGUAAAGAAUGGAGAAUGAUAAUAAAAUUUAGAAGUACUUUAGAAUGAUGCAAAUAAAUUCUUACUUUGGGCAUAUAUGGGGGAAACAAUAAAUAGUAUUUAGAUAUUGAAUUCUAGGAGAGGGGAUGCAAAUUAGCUAUAUGCACAGAAACAUAUACAAAGGACAGUAAACAAUGUCAGUUAAUACUUAUGUGUGUGAGAGAAAGUUAAUGACAGGAAAAUGAAAGGAGAGAAAUAAAUGCACACUGCUCACUUCUGUCCCAAUUCUAUACACCAUAGGACAACAUUCAAUUUAUUGUUUCAAAAAGUUACCUUUUCACAGAUUCAUGCAGGGAAGAGUAACAUUUUCUACUUUCACAUACCUUUCUCUCCCUGAAGCUACAAAAGAAAAAAAAAAAAGUAAACCUGGUAUUUAAGAAGUCAAUAUUUGAGAAUUCUCGAAAGAGGAACAUCGAAUGGCAGAGAAACACUUAAAGAAAUGCUCAGCGUCAUUAGUCAUCAGGAAAAUGCAAAUUAAAACAACCCUGAGAUUUCACCUUACACCCAACAGAAUGGCUAAGAUCAAAAACUCAAGUGGCAACACACGCUGGAGAGGUUGUGGAGAAAGGGGAACCCUCCUCCACUGCUGGUGGGAAUGUAAACUUGUACAAACACUCUGGAACUCAAUCUGGCGCUUUUUCAGACAACUAGGAAUAGUGCUUCCUCAAGAUCCAGCUAUACCACUUCUAGGCAUAUACCCAAAAGAGGCUCAAGUACACAAAAAGGACCUUUGUUCAACCAUGUUUGUAGUAGCUUUUUUUGUAAUAUCCAGAAGCUGGAAACAACCCAGAUGCUCCUCAACUGAGGAAGGGAUACAGAAAUUGUGGAACAUCUACACAAUGGAAUAUUACUCAGCAAUAAAAAACAAGGAAAUCAUGAAAUUUGCAGGUAAAUGGUGGGAACUGGAAAAGAUCAUCCUGAGUGAGGUAUCCCAGAAGCUGAAAGACAGACAUGGUAUCUACUCACUUAUAAGUGGAUAUUAGACAUGUAAUAUAGGAUAAACAUACUAAAAUCUGUACACUUAAAGAAACUAAUCAAGAGGGAGGACUCUGGCUAAAAUGCUCAAUCCCCAUCCAGAAAGGCAAAGAGAAUGGACAUCAGAAGAAAAAGAAAACAGGGAACAAGUCAGCAGCCUGCCACAGAGGGCCUCUGAAAGGCUCUUCCCUGCAGACUAUCAAAGCAGAUGCUGAGACUUAUAGCCAAACUUUGGGCAGAGUGCAGGUAAUCUUAUGAAAGAAGUGGGAAAUAGUAAGAUCUGGAGAGUACAGGAACACCAAAGGAGAGCAACUGAACCAACAAUUCUGGGCACAAGGGUCCUUCCUGAGUCUGUUAAUCCAACCAAGUACCAUGCAUAGAGAUAACCUAGAACCCCUGCACAGUUGUAGCCCAUGGCAGUUCAGUGUCCAAGUGGGUUCCAUAGUAAUGGGAACAGGGACUGUCUCUGACAUUAACUGAUUGGCCUGCUCUUUGAUCACCCCCGCUCCCGAGAGGGGGAGCAGCCUUAGCAGCCUUACCAGGACACAGAAGAAGAUAGUGCUACCACUCUUUUUUUUUUUAAUUUUAUUUUUCUUAUUAGUUACAUUUUGUUAACUCCGUGUCCCACUCUUGAUGAGACCUGGUAGACUAGGAUCAGAAGGAAGCAAAAGA